AGUGAACGCUGGCGGUAGGCCUAACACAUGCAAGUCGAACGGCAGCACAGUAAGAGCUUGCUAUUACGGGUGGCGAGUGGCGGACGGGUGAGGAAUACAUCGGAAUCUACUUUUUCGUGGGGGAUAACGAAGGGAAACAUACGCUAAUACCGCAUACGACCUACGGGUGAAAGCAGGGGAUCUUCGGAUCUUGCGCGAUUGAAUGAGCCGAUGUCGGAUUAGCUAGUUGGCGGGGUAACGGCGCACCAAGGCGACGAUGCGUAGCUGGUCUGAGAGGAUGAUCAGCCACACUGGAAGUGAGACACGGUCCAGGCUCCUACGGGAGGCAGCAGUGGGGAAUAUUGGACGAUGGGCGCAAGCCUGAUCCAGCCAUACCGCGUGGGUGCAGAGGGCCUUCGGGUUGUAAAGCCCUUUUGUUGGGGAAGAAAAGCAGCAGGUUAAUACCCCGCUGUUCUGACGGUACCCAAAGAAUAAGCACCGGCUAACUUCGUG
Molecule: ribosomal RNA, 492 nt
Filed under: uncultured bacterium
Lineage: Bacteria
Description: partial 16S ribosomal RNA
Rfam family: Bacterial small subunit ribosomal RNA
Source: RNAcentral